GAGGCCAAGCAGAGAUGAGUGGUCACUGCUCUCUUGCCCGGACACGAGGUGGGCAAUAUAACACCCUUACACGGAUUUGAUUAUAAAGUCUUGUCUUGCGGAGUGCAAAGAAGCGCAGCAUUGGGAACGAGGAGCGGCAGGUAAGCCAGAG
Long non-coding RNA from Loxodonta africana (African savanna elephant), 151 nucleotides. It matches the Rfam family "TP53 target 1 conserved region 1". Lineage: Eukaryota; Metazoa; Chordata; Mammalia; Proboscidea; Elephantidae. The record is from Rfam.